RNAcentral lists this ribosomal RNA (1271 nucleotides) under Corynebacterium sp. HMSC065H09. RNAcentral's name for it is "bacterial LSU rRNA". It matches the Rfam family "Bacterial large subunit ribosomal RNA", at positions 1 to 1217 of the family's 2925-position model. Lineage: Bacteria; Bacillati; Actinomycetota; Actinomycetes; Mycobacteriales; Corynebacteriaceae. The record is from RNAcentral.
GUGUUGUGUUGUAAGGGCGCAUGGUGGAUGCCUUGGCAUAGUAGGCCGAUGAAGGACGUGAGAGGCUGCGAUAGGCCUCGGGGAGCUGCCAACUGAGCGUUGAUCCGAGGGUGUCCGAAUGGGGAAACCUGGCCGUCGUUGUGGGCGGUCGCCGUUAGAUGAAUUCAUAGUCUAAUUGGUGGUUACGCGGGGAAGUGAAACAUCUCAGUACCCGUAGGAGUAGAAAACAAUUGUGAUUCCGUUAGUAGUGGCGAACGAACGUGGAUGAGGCUAAACCGCGUGCGUGUGAUACCUGGCAGGGUUUGCGUGCGUGGGGUUGUGGGGAUGCAUUGUGCAGGGUCUGCUAGCCCUGCGUUGUGUUGUGUGGGUGUAGCGGAAGUGGAUUGGAAUGUCCUGCCGUAGACGGUGAGAGUCCGGUACGUGAAACACCCGUGCGUGCAAUUGGUGUGUUGCCCGAGUAGCAGCGGGCUCGUGGAAUCUGCUGUGAAUCUGCCGGGACCACCCGGUAAGCCUAAAUACCUGCUUAUGACCGAUAGCGGAUUAGUACCGUGAGGGAAUGGUGAAAAGUACCCCGGGAGGGGAGUGAAAUAGUACCUGAAACCAUGUGCUUACAAUCCGUCAGAGCCCUUUUUUGUGGGGUGAUGGCGUGCCUUUUGAAGAAUGAGCCUGCGAGUCAGCGGCAUGUCGCGAGGUUAACCCGUUUGGUGGGGUAGUCGUAGCGAAAGCGAAUACUAACUAGUGUGUUGUCAGUGGCAUGUCCUGGACCCGAAGCGGGGUGAUCUACCCAUGGCCAGUGUGAAGCAGAGGUAAGACUCUGUGGAGGCGCGAACCCACUUAGGUUGAAAACUGAGGGGAUGAGUUGUGGGUAGGGGUGAAAGGCCAAUCAAACUCCGUGAUAGCUGGUUCUCCCCGAAAUGCAUUUAGGUGCAGCGUCGUGUGUUUCCUCCUGGAGGUAGAGCUACUGGUUGGUUUAGCGGGACUAUCAUCUUAGCGACAUCAGCCAAACUCCGAAUGCCGGUGAGGUCAGAGCACGGCAGUGAGACUGCGGGGGAUAAGCUUCGUAGUCGAGAGGGAAACAGCCCAGAUCGCCGGCUAAGGCCCCUAAGGGUGUGCUAAGUGGAAAAGGAUGUGGGAUCGCGAAGACAACCAGGAGGUUGGCUUAGAAGCAGCCAUCCUUGAAAGAGUGCGUAAUAGCUCACUGGUCGAGUGGUUCUGCGCCGACAAUGUAGUGGGGCUCAAGUACACCGCCGAAGCCGCGGCAAUCACCUUUU